Molecule: non-coding RNA, 277 nt
Organism: Pelobates cultripes (western spadefoot toad)
Lineage: Eukaryota; Metazoa; Chordata; Amphibia; Anura; Pelobatidae
Source: the annotation of a GenBank genome assembly
UAGGUGCGAUGGAACCUUGGCUAAGCCGCUACGGUAACAGGGCGGAUGCCGAGUUACUUCGGGCUGGGUUUGGGCGGGGGUUCUUCAUCCCCUUUCGGGACAGGGGUGGUACCCGGGACUUGCGCAACCUUAAAUCGGUGGCGGAAUUCCCAGGGGUGGUACGGGACAAGCUUGCUAAGGAAGUACUGCUGGGCAGGAUAGCGGGGCCAUUUCGGGCACCCCUGAUGGAGGGUCUUCGGGUUUCGCCACUCAGGGUGGUCCCCAAAAAGGAGCCGGG